This 126-nucleotide transfer RNA is filed under the name Chloropicon primus. It matches the Rfam family "tRNA". Rfam says of the family: Transfer RNA (tRNA) molecules are approximately 80 nucleotides in length. Their secondary structure includes four short double-helical elements and three loops (D, anti-codon, and T loops). Lineage: Eukaryota; Viridiplantae; Chlorophyta; Chloropicophyceae; Chloropicales; Chloropicaceae. The record is from Rfam by way of RNAcentral.
GGGGGUGUAGCUCAUUUGGCAGAGCGUUCGCUUUGCAUUAACAUGGGGUUUACUACAAGGACUCGACAUCUCUGGAGCCCCCACGAAAUCUGCGAAAGGCAGGGGGUUCGAUUCCCUCCACCUCCA